CAGAUAUUAAUUUAUUUAAAAUUUUAAUUUUGGAGAUUAAAAAAAAGAUUUUUUUCUUAUAUCUGA
RNAcentral lists this transfer RNA (66 nucleotides) under Siemssenius fulvipennis. Its description in RNAcentral is "tRNA-Pro". The record is from RNAcentral. Lineage: Eukaryota; Metazoa; Arthropoda; Insecta; Coleoptera; Chrysomelidae.